This 424-nucleotide ribosomal RNA is filed under the name uncultured Bacteroidales bacterium. RNAcentral describes it as "bacterial SSU rRNA". It matches the Rfam family "Bacterial small subunit ribosomal RNA", at positions 355 to 776 of the family's 1533-position model. Lineage: Bacteria; Pseudomonadati; Bacteroidota; Bacteroidia; Bacteroidales. The record is from RNAcentral.
UGAGGAAUAUUGGUCAAUGGGCGCAAGCCUGAACCAGCCAUCCCGCGUGCAGGAAGACGGCCCUAUGGGUUGUAAACUGCUUUUCCAGGGAGAGAAACUCUCGUACGUGUACGGGAUUGACGGUACCCUGGGAAUAAGCAUCGGCUAACUCCGUGCCAGCAGCCGCGGUAAUACGGAGGAUGCAAGCGUUAUCCGGAUUCAUUGGGUUUAAAGGGUGCGUAGGCGGACUAUUAAGUCAGUGGUGAAAUCCUGCAGCUUAACUGCAGAACUGCCAUUGAUACUGAUAGACUUGAGUUUGGUUAAGGUAGGCGGAAUGUGUAAUGUAGCGGUGAAAUGCUUAGAUAUUACACAGAACACCAAUUGCGUAGGCAGCUUACUGAGCCGAUACUGACGCUGAGGCACGAAAGCGUGGGGAUCGAACAGG